ACGGGAGGCAGCAGUGGGGAAUAUUGCACAAUGGAGGAAACUCUGAUGCAGCGAUGCCGCGUGAGGGAAGAAGGUUUUCGGAUUGUAAACCUCUGUCUUUGGGGACGAUAAUGACGGUACCCAAGGAGGAAGCUCCGGCUAACUACGUGCCAGCAGCCGCGGUAAUACGUAGGGAGCAAGCGUUAUCCGGAAUUACUGGGUGUAAAGGGAGUGUAGGCGGGACUGCAAGUCAGAUGUGAAAAUUAUGGGCUCAACUCAUAACCUGCAUUUGAAACUGUAGUUCUUGAGUGAAGUAGAGGUAAGCGGAAUUCCUAGUGUAGCGGUGAAAUGCGUAGAUAUUAGGAGGAACAUCAGUGGCGAAGGCGGCUUACUGGGCUUUUACUGACGCUGAGGCUCGAAAGCGUGGGGAGCAAACAGGAUUAGAUACCCUGGUA
This 434-nucleotide ribosomal RNA is filed under the name uncultured Ruminococcus sp. Its description in RNAcentral is "bacterial SSU rRNA". It matches the Rfam family "Bacterial small subunit ribosomal RNA", at positions 341 to 792 of the family's 1533-position model. The record is from RNAcentral. Lineage: Bacteria; Bacillati; Bacillota; Clostridia; Eubacteriales; Oscillospiraceae.